RNAcentral lists this non-coding RNA (163 nucleotides) under Caldalkalibacillus thermarum. RNAcentral describes it as "GlcN6P sequence". It matches the Rfam family "glmS glucosamine-6-phosphate activated ribozyme aptamer". Rfam says of the family: This entry contains a glucosamine-6-phosphate activated ribozyme that is found in the mRNA for GlmS. Lineage: Bacteria; Bacillati; Bacillota; Bacilli; Caryophanales; Bacillaceae. RNAcentral also lists the same sequence under 1 other name. The record is from RNAcentral.
UUUAAACUUUAAGCGCCAGGACUAAGGAAGGACGGCUCCUUAGUUGACGAGGUGGAGGUUUAUCGAGCAAUCGGCGGAUGCCUCCCUGCUGCGGGUCACAGCAGUAAGUCAUAUACAAACCACAGGGGCAACCUUGUGUUUAAAAUUAUGACAUGACCCAUAC